Molecule: long non-coding RNA, 1740 nt
Organism: Ficedula albicollis (Collared flycatcher)
Lineage: Eukaryota; Metazoa; Chordata; Aves; Passeriformes; Muscicapidae
Exons: 3
Source: RefSeq, a predicted model, not a curated record
CUGUUGCCGGCCUGGGUCACGUGAUUUCCGGCGCGAGCCGCGGUCUCCGCGAACUGUCCCGGAAUCGUCGGGAAAAAGAAACGCUUCAUGUCGUCUUUAAGUUCUAGAUUAUAUAAUCGAUCCUUUCCAACACGGGACGCGCCUCAGGGCGGCUGAGGUGCCCUGGGUGGUCAUGGGCUAGCGUGCUGGUCCCGCCUGUUCCCUCUUCCUGUCGCAGACCUGUAGGAAAGCACAGUCCAGAAGCCUGCUAAGUGGCGGCUUGCUCCGACGAUCAUCGGGAAUGCUUUUGCGACCCGCAGGCGGGGGUGAUACCCCGCUCUCUUCGGCCUGAUUGCUGAAAAGAAAGAUGGUGAUUUUGUCCCAGCGGGGGGCAGAGAACAGCAAAGAGCAGCUGAAAGAAGAAUCCAGCGCUGCCCUGCCGAAACACACUCGAUUUCAGCUGAAAAGGUCACUGCCCACAUGAUUGCAUCACCACGGCCGCUGAAGGCGUGAGGCUGUGACCGGCUGGCUGCUUUUAUCAAGGGUGAGGCAUUUCAAGUGAAAACAACCAAAGAAAGCCGAGUAUAGAUAUGCUGAAAUGUAAGAAGUGGGAAAACAAAAAGGUCUUCUUUUUUUUAUUUUUUUAUUUAAUUAAACGUUUUCUCCAUUGUUUGCACAUUUUGCUAUUCCAGAAGUGUAGCUUUUUAAAUUGCUUCUUCUGUCAAUUCUUAUUUGUUGUAAGUCAGGCGCUCACAGUGCUGAAGAGAAAGUCCAUUUAUAAAAUGUUCUUUCAAUAAGCACUUUUCCAGGGUCACAUAAUAGGAUUCCAGACAUUUCCCCAUUGUUAUGUUUUAUAUUUGUGCAGGUGCUUGGAAGGUUUCUGAGGAAUUCCUACCAAGUACUUUAACUGGAAAUGUGGCUGUUCUGUUGUAUAAGGACUCCUGAUCCACACAAAACAAAUGAACUUGAUGAUUUCAAUAUUCAGCCCUGUGUGGUAAUACUGUUCCAAGUUAAAAAUCCAAGUCAGGGUUGUUCAGUUUGGUUUCUGCUAGCUAAGUUGGAAAAAGUCUAUGAAAUAGGUCAGCACCUUUUUCUGUUGGCAGGUACCAGGUGACAAACUCAGUGUUGAUCCAGGGUUAGAGUUUUGUUAGAGGUUUUCCUUUUGCCAUUGUCUCUGGUUAGCAGUAUUUACCUAUCAACUGUUAAAAACCCAAGUGCCUCAAAAUAACUCUAUUUAAAAGGCUUUGUUUCCCUGGAUAUUUGUGUCUUGCCCAAAAAUUAUGAAAGAGAGAAUUAAUAUUUCCCAGCAGGGAAUAGGAUUUGCUAAAAUGUCACCACCAAUCUCUUAAUUAGCCCCUCAAAAUACCAUGUUGUCUUUUGGUCCUCAGUGGGAAAGAAUUGAAAUGAGUUGAAAUGAAAUGGAGCUUUUUUCUUAAAUAACAAAAGCAAAUAUGUCCUAAACAACAAAAAUCACAAUUGCAAAGUCAGAGGUCAUGUGGGAGAUCUUUUACAAAAGCUGCACUUUGAAAUAUCAACUGACUUAGAAAAUUGAAAAUUGAUGGAAAUAAGAGUAAAUGAAAUUCUUAGAAAAGGAUUUAUGUUUUCAUUAAAACUAAACUUUUUGAUUAAUAUGGGUAAAAAAGGGAAAUCUUUCUCUUAGUGGUCUAUAAGAUGUGUUGAUUCCACCUGUUAAUGUAUUAAUUUAUGUAAAGUUAGGCCUGAAACCUCUUUCCUGUAUUUUCAAUAUAUUUUUUCCAAUCU